GGUGUAGCUAUUGUUUAUGUUACGGCCAUAAAAUAGAUAUUAUUGUAUCCUACACUU
RNAcentral lists this transfer RNA (57 nucleotides) under Cephalochlamys namaquensis. RNAcentral describes it as "tRNA-Arg". The record is from RNAcentral. Lineage: Eukaryota; Metazoa; Platyhelminthes; Cestoda; Pseudophyllidea; Cephalochlamydidae.